GAUGAACGCUAGCGGCAGGCUUAACACAUGCAAGUCGAGGGGUAGAGGUCUUCGGAACUAGAGACCGGCGCACGGGUGCGUAACGCGUAUGCAAUCUACCUUUUACAGGGGAAUAGCCCAGAGAAAUUUGGAUUAAUGCCCCAUAGUAUAGUUUAUUCGCAUGAGUAGAUUAUUAAAGUUCCAACGGUAAAAGAUGAGCAUGGCGUCCCAUUAGCUAGAUGGUAAGGUAACGGCUUACCAUGGCGACGAUGGGUAGGGGUCCUGAGAGGGAGCUCCCACACACAGAGACGGAGACACGGACCAGACUCCUGCGGGAGGCAGCAGUGAGGAAUAUUUGUCAAUGGACGCAAGUCUGAACCAGCCAUGCCGCGUGCAGGAUGACGGUCCUAUGGAUUGUAAACUGCUUUUGUACGAGAAGAAACACUGCUACGUGUAGCAGCUUGACGGUAUCGUAAGAAUAAGGAUCGGCUAACUCCGUGCCAGCCGCCGCCGUAA
RNAcentral lists this ribosomal RNA (495 nucleotides) under uncultured bacterium. Its description in RNAcentral is "partial 16S ribosomal RNA". It matches the Rfam family "Bacterial small subunit ribosomal RNA", at positions 28 to 523 of the family's 1533-position model. The record is from RNAcentral.